This 253-nucleotide ribosomal RNA is filed under the name uncultured bacterium. Its description in RNAcentral is "partial 16S ribosomal RNA". It matches the Rfam family "Bacterial small subunit ribosomal RNA", at positions 524 to 776 of the family's 1533-position model. The record is from RNAcentral.
UACGAAGGGGGCUAGCGUUGUUCGGAAUUACUGGGCGUAAAGCGCACGUAGGCGGGUCGUUAAGUCAGGGGUGAAAUCCCGGAGCUCAACUCCGGAACUGCCUUUGAUACUGGCGAUCUUGAGAUCGGAAGAGGUGAGUGGAAUUCCCAGUGUAGAGGUGGAAUUCGUAGAUAUUAGGAAGAACACCAGUGGCGAAGGCGGCUCACUGGUCCGGUACUGACGCUGAGGUGCGAAAGCGUGGGGAGCAAACAGG